CAAUUGCAAUAGACAAUAAACAAAAAUAAAAAUAGAAAUACGUUUGACAAAAACAUGAAAUAUAAAUUGAGUUAAUAAUACAUGUAGUCACACAUCAAACCUGUAUGUUUAGUGAUUAUUGACCAUGCACCAGAAGCAGCAUCACAUCCAUUAUAGAAAAAAAACAAAAAAAACUUCGAGUUAAGUCCUUCCUCGUGGCUGAUGCAUAUGAGCAAAUAGUAUUGUUGUUCAUAUGCAGGAGUCACAAAGGGCAGGUGCUUAAAGGACACUCAAGCCUCUUCACAGAAAUCUGAAAAACUUAAACAUUUUACAACACAAG
RNAcentral lists this long non-coding RNA (319 nucleotides) under Mytilus galloprovincialis (Mediterranean mussel). Lineage: Eukaryota; Metazoa; Mollusca; Bivalvia; Mytilida; Mytilidae. The record is from RNAcentral.